GUGCCAGCCGCAGCUGCGGUAAUACGGAGGGUGCAAGCGUUAAUCGGAAUUACUGGGCGUAAAGCGCACGCAGGCGGUCUGUCAAGUCGGAUGUGAAAUCCCCGGGCUCAACCUGGGAACUGCAUUCGAAACUGGCAGGCUGGAGUCUUGUAGAGGGGGGGUAGAAUUCCAGGUGUAGCGGUGAAAUGCGUAGAGAUCUGGAGGAAUACCGGUGGCGAAGGCGGCCCCCUGGACAAAGACUGAUGCUCAGGUGCGAAAGCGUGGGGAGCAAACAGGAUUAGAUACCCUGGUAGUCCACGCCGUAAACGAUGUCGACUUGGAGGUUGUGCCCUUGAGGCGUGGCUUCCGGAGCUAACGCGUUAAGUCGACCGCCUGGGGAGUACGGCCGCAAGGUUAAAACUCAAAUGAAUUGACGGGGCCCGCACAAGCGGUGGAGCAUGUGGUUUAAUUCGAUGCAACG
Molecule: ribosomal RNA, 460 nt
Filed under: uncultured Klebsiella sp.
Lineage: Bacteria; Pseudomonadati; Pseudomonadota; Gammaproteobacteria; Enterobacterales; Enterobacteriaceae
Description: bacterial SSU rRNA
Rfam family: Bacterial small subunit ribosomal RNA
Source: RNAcentral